AGAAUCAACGCUGGCGGCGUGCCUAACACAUGCAAGUCGCACGAGAAAGGGUAGCAAUACCUGAGUAAAGUGGCGCACGGGUGAGUAACACGUGAAUUAUCUACCUCCGAGUGGGGAAUAACUGAGAGAAAUCUUAGCUAAUACCGCAUAACACUUACGAGUCAAAGCAGCAAUGCGCUUGGAGAGGAGUUCGCGGCAGAUUAGUUAGUUGGCGGGGUAAUGGCCCACCAAGACGAUGAUCU
RNAcentral lists this ribosomal RNA (242 nucleotides) under uncultured bacterium. Its description in RNAcentral is "partial small subunit ribosomal RNA". It matches the Rfam family "Bacterial small subunit ribosomal RNA", at positions 26 to 282 of the family's 1533-position model. The record is from RNAcentral.